RNAcentral lists this long non-coding RNA (255 nucleotides) under Nicotiana benthamiana. RNAcentral describes it as "long non-coding RNA (NBEN_LNC021606)". The record is from RNAcentral. Lineage: Eukaryota; Viridiplantae; Streptophyta; Magnoliopsida; Solanales; Solanaceae.
UGGAAUCAGAAACUGGGCUCUCAGUUAGCAUAGUACCAGCAAAAUUGACAGCACACAUGGGAGAAGGGUUUGGAGCAGUGGAACCCCCUAGCUGGGAAUGUUGUAAAAGAUUCAUCAGUUGAUCAUAAUGCUGACUGCUCAACCCAGGUAUCACAGAAGACUGACCAUCUGUUUUGGAAACAGAUUCAUGGUUGGCAGUAGGAUUCCCUUGAGGAACAGACAAAUGACCAUCAGAAUUUGAAGCAACAGCAUUAG